Molecule: non-coding RNA, 123 nt
Filed under: uncultured Eubacterium sp.
Lineage: Bacteria; Bacillati; Bacillota; Clostridia; Eubacteriales; Eubacteriaceae
Description: FMN riboswitch (RFN element)
Rfam family: FMN riboswitch aptamer (RFN element)
About the family: The RFN element is a highly conserved domain that is found frequently in the 5'-untranslated regions of prokaryotic mRNAs that encode for flavin mononucleotide (FMN) biosynthesis and transport proteins. This element is a metabolite-dependent riboswitch that directly binds FMN in the absence of proteins.
Source: RNAcentral
GUGGGCGGGGUGCAAUUCCCCACUGGCGGUAAAUCGGGAGACCGAUAAGUCCGCGACCUGCCAUAUGGCAGCUGAACCGGUGAGAGUCCGGUACCAACAGUAAAGUCUGGAUGAAAGAAGAUG